This 792-nucleotide unclassified non-coding RNA is filed under the name Caenorhabditis elegans. RNAcentral's name for it is "Non-coding transcript of protein-coding gene sre-18". Lineage: Eukaryota; Metazoa; Nematoda; Chromadorea; Rhabditida; Rhabditidae. The record is from RNAcentral.
AUGAAAGUUGAUGCUCAUGCUUUGUAUAAAACUGAAUAUUACCCUAUUUUCGCAGUAUUGUUCGCGUUUGUCGCAAUAUCAAACGUCAUUUCAACUUCGAUUGCUGCCACCAUCUUAUUUUAUGUUUCGUGCAUUUAUAAAAUCCCCUCCUCUUUUUGCACUGACUGCAAUAAUGUUGGAGCGUCUUUGCGCAACAUAUUAUGUGAAGGAUUAUGAGAAAAAUCAGCGGCCAAUCAUUCCAUUUUUGAUAAUAAUUUUUCUAAUAAUACUAUCCUUUAUAGCAUCAACUGUCUUUACUUCUGUUGGUAUGGUGUUAUAUUUUGGUGUCUGUCAUUUCUCAUUUAUUUUUGUAUGCUACAUUGUCUCAGUAAUAACGUAUCGAACAAAUCGAAGGUAUUACUAUAAUAAUCGUGUAGACCAACAUUCAUAUUCAUUGGGAGAACGAUAUCAAAUUUCUGAAAAUCUUCGGCUUUACAUGUUUUUCUCGCACUACCUUUUCGUAAUGGCUGUUUUCCCCAUCAUUUGUACCUUAACCAUUGUCCUCGACUCUUUCAAUUCAAAUUUUUUGUUACGAGAAAUUUAUCAAAUUAUUUUUGAUUUAAGUUUCACAUUAUUAUGCUUCCUUGCUCCUUACCUGACAUACAAAAUGAGUGAAGCAUGGCAAAAUGAGCUUCAUAGAAUAUAUGUCAAGAUAGGGUUGAGAAAACCGAACAAAAUUCAAAGUGUUCGAUAUAGUUCGAGGAAAUUGAAAGGGACAUUUGGAGAGGAUAUUAAUGUGGAAAUGAAUUAGCA